RNAcentral lists this long non-coding RNA (419 nucleotides) under Ananas comosus (pineapple). RNAcentral describes it as "long non-coding RNA (ACOM_LNC033360)". The record is from RNAcentral. Lineage: Eukaryota; Viridiplantae; Streptophyta; Magnoliopsida; Poales; Bromeliaceae.
AUUCUACACUGUCACAUUUAGCGAGGAAUUCUAUACUGUCGCACUUACACCACGUCAUCAAUAACAAGCCAAUCACAUUCCUUCUUUUUAAACAAAAGUACAAUAAAAGUACUUUUUUACAAGCAUGAUGGGACAUAUAUUUUUAAAAGGAUUAAUUUGAUUGGUUUAUUACGCCACGUCACUAAUAUACCCGUUGCAUUCUAGAAUUUUUCGAAAAGAGCCCCGCAGAGUGAGCGCAUGGCGGUGCACUGCCGAUUACUACGUACAUUACUUCACGAGCGCACAAGUCCUUCUCGAUGAUGGAGUUUUCAAAUUAACGAUUUAUUUUAUAUCGCUAAAUAUAACGUAAUACAUUCGAAAUAUCCAGAAAUCGAAUUUUCUUAAUUUUUUGAAUAUAUAAUCAAAUCCAUCAAGUGAGU